RNAcentral lists this ribosomal RNA (451 nucleotides) under uncultured bacterium. Its description in RNAcentral is "bacterial SSU rRNA". It matches the Rfam family "Bacterial small subunit ribosomal RNA", at positions 355 to 796 of the family's 1533-position model. The record is from RNAcentral.
UGGGGAAUAUUGGGCAAUGGGCGCAAGCCUGACCCAGCCACGCCGCGUGAGUGAUGAAGGUCUUCGGAUCGUAAAGCUCUGUGGAGGGGGAAGAAAACCCAGCGGGAACAAUACCCCGCUGGCCUGACGGUACCCCUUUAGCAAGCACCGGCUAACUCCGUGCCAGCAGCCGCGGUAAUACGGAGGGUGCAAACGUUGCUCGGAAUCAUUGGGCGUAAAGCGUGUGUAGGUGGUCUGAUAAGUCGGGUGUGAAAGCCCUGGGCUCAACCCAGGAAGUGCAUUCGAAACUGCCAGACUUGAGUACGGGAGAGGGUCGCGGAAUUCCCGGUGUAGAGGUGAAAUUCGUAGAUAUCGGGAGGAACACCAGUGGCGAAGGCGGCGACCUGGACCGAUACUGACGCUGAGACACGAAAGCGUGGGGAGCAAACAGGAUUAGAUACCCCCGUAGUCC